Molecule: ribosomal RNA, 490 nt
Filed under: uncultured bacterium
Lineage: Bacteria
Description: partial 16S ribosomal RNA
Rfam family: Bacterial small subunit ribosomal RNA
Source: RNAcentral
AGUGAACGCUGGCGGUAGGCCUAACACAUGCAAGUCGAACGGCAGCACAGUAAGAGCUUGCUCUUACGGGUGGCGAGUGGCGGACGAGUGAGGAAUACAUCGGAAUCUACUUUUUCGUGGGGGAUAACGUAGGGAAACUUACGCUAAUACCGCAUACGACCUACGGGUGAAAGCAGGGGAUCUUCGGACCUUGCGCGAUUGAAUGAGCCGAUGUCGGAUUAGCUAGUUGGCGGGGUAAAGGCCCACCAAGGCGACGAUCCGUAGCUGGUCUGAGAGGAUGAUCAGCCACACUGGAACUGAGACACGGUCCAGACUCCUACGGGAGGCAGCAGUGGGGAAUAUGGGACAAUGGGCGCAAGCCUGAUCCAGCCAUACCGCGUGGGGGAAGAAGGCCUUCGGGUUGUAAAGCCCUUUUGUUGGGAAAGAAAAGCAGCAGGUUAAUACCCCGCUGUUCUGACGGUACCCAAAGAAUAAGCACCGGCUAACUUCG